Long non-coding RNA from Lepidothrix coronata (blue-crowned manakin), 888 nucleotides. RefSeq lists it as uncharacterized. Lineage: Eukaryota; Metazoa; Chordata; Aves; Passeriformes; Pipridae. The record is from RefSeq and is a predicted model, not a curated record. The transcript has 3 exons.
AAGGGGGAACGGGGGAGCAGAGGGGGAACAUGGCGUCCCACUGGGGCGUGUGGGAGAGAUAAAGGGAGGAGCAGACGGGGAACAUGGCGCCCCACUGAGGCGUGUGGGAGACAUAAAGGGAGGAGCAGACGGGGAACAUGGCGCCCCACUGAGGCGUGUGGGAGACAUAAAGGGGGGAGCAGACGGGGAACAUGGCGCCCCACUGAGGCGUGUGGGAGACAUAAAGGGGGGAGCAGAGGGGGAACAUGGCGUCCCACUGAGGCGUGUGGGAGAGAUAAAGGGGGGAGCGGGGGGAACAUGGCGUCCCACUGAGGUGUGUGGGAGAGAUAAAGGGGGGAGCGGGGGGGGACAUGGCGUCCCUUUGGGGGACACCUGGGACGUGUGGGACAGACAAAGGAGGAUGCAAUAAAAACAAACUAAUUUCUUGAAGGAAUCAUAAGUAUGAAUAUUCAUAAAAAACUUAAGACAAAAGCCAUGGUAAUUUCUUCCACAAGUUUUCAUUUGAAGGAGAUAAACUCAAAGACCUGUAAUACCUGACGCUGUAUACGUGCAACAGCUACAGGAUAUUUGACAUAAAUCCUGAACAACCAAAUAUAUUGCAGGAGGAGCAGCCGGAACGUUUCAAGAAAGAAUUUCCAGAGUGGAAAAGCCGUGUGUUCCACAGUCAGCCAUUUAAAUCCAUAUCUCCACGUAAAUGUCAUGUAGUUGCCUGGAAGAGAAAUCUAUAGAUAACUUGAAGAGUGUUCAAAUGCAGAAGGAUUAAUUGCUGACAAGCUGUACCAGUUAUCUGACAACAGGAAAUUAAGAGAGUGAUCGCAAGAUACGUAUAAAUAGAUCAGGCACUUUUAAAUCCCAUUCUCCGCGGCUGCCGCUGCCGGGGCGCCGCCC